AGGCGAGUGUGCUACCGCUUAAGCCACAUCCCCAGCCAAAGGUUCCCUAGAGAAGUUCUGUUCUGAAGGGGUGACAGUGGCAGAAGAGGUGUGCCAUAGGAGCAAGGGUCAGGAAAGAAUAAAGUCCAGUUGCUUGUCACAGGCAUCGUUCAUUCAACACACAUUUCUUGAGUGCCUACUACAUGCCAAGACUGCUAGAUGCUGGGGGUACAGAGCUGAAUGCAACAUGGUGCCCGCCCUGGAGGAGCACAUAGUUCAGCUGGAGGAAGAUAGACAGGUAAACUGAAAAAUUAUGCUGUUAAGUGCUUUACCGAAAUAUCACUACAGAACAAGAAGAGAACAGAGCAGUUAACUUGAGUGACAUCGGGACUGUUAUGAGCCAUAAACAUAUUUAUAUAUCCCCAUUUAUGUACCAAAAAAGGCUUUUCAAAUACAUGUUUUGUGUUGUUUAUGGAAUAACAUCAAAAGCAAAUUUUUAAAAUCUGGGUAAAUUAAAAGGGUUAAAAAAAUAA
This is a non-coding RNA of Marmota flaviventris (yellow-bellied marmot), 512 nucleotides long. The record is from RefSeq and is a predicted model, not a curated record. NCBI's taxonomy places the organism in Eukaryota, Metazoa, Chordata, Mammalia, Rodentia, Sciuridae.